GAAACAGCAAUAAGACUGCGCAGCCACAUUUUCCCAGUGCCACCAACUGGGCGUUAAGCUGACUAACGUUUUGAAAGCCCAGCCCAUUUCGUUCACAGCAGGCAAGGCAGCGGUUGACUGAUUGUACCCGCCAGCUGGCUAAUAUCAUAAUUAACAAAGUUGCUACCACAUCUGCAAAGUUUAAUCGAAAAAUUUGCCAGUGAUAUGAUGGCAUUGUCACAAAGAUCACAAGGGACACGGAGUUGACUUUUGCUCAAGGUGGAAUGGCAAAGCUGUAUGGGCAAGAUGAGAAAUCGUGCACUUGUUCAGCCAAAGGUUAUGCUUCAUAUCACCCACCGGGGAGGAUCAUCUCUCAUGAAAACUUCCAAAUUUGAUUUUGAAAAUUAUUCAGAAAAAUUUAAGCCACGCUAUCUCC
Panthera uncia (snow leopard) is the source of this 415-nucleotide long non-coding RNA. RefSeq lists it as uncharacterized. NCBI's taxonomy places the organism in Eukaryota, Metazoa, Chordata, Mammalia, Carnivora, Felidae. The transcript has 3 exons. The record is from RefSeq and is a predicted model, not a curated record.